GACGAACGCUGGCGGCGUGCUUAACACAUGCAAGUCGAACGGAAAGGCCCUGCUUUUGUGGGGUGCUCGAGUGGCGAACGGGUGAGUAACACGUGAGUAACCUGCCCUUGACUUUGGGAUAACUUCAGGAAACUGGGGCUAAUACCGGAUAGGAGCUCCUGCUGCAUGGUGGGGGUUGGAAAGUUUCGGCGGUUGGGGAUGGACUCGCGGCUUAUCAGCUUGUUGGUGGGGUAGUGGCUUACCAAGGCUUUGACGGGUAGCCGGCCUGAGAGGGUGACCGGCCACAUUGGGACUGAGAUACGGCCCAGACUCCUACGGGAGGCAGCAGUGGGGAAUAUUGCACAAUGGGCGGAAGCCUGAUGCAGCAACGCCGCGUGCGGGAUGACGGCCUUCGGGUUGUAAACCGCUUUCGCCUGUGACGAAGCGUGAGUGACGGUAAUGGGUAAAGAAGCACCGGCUAACUACGUGCCAGCAGCCGCGGUGAUACGUAGGGUGCGAGCGUUGUCCGGAUUUAUUGGGCGUAAAGGGCUCGUAGGUGGUUGAUCGCGUCGGAAGUGUAAUCUCGGGGCUUAACCCUGAGCGUGCUUUCGAUACGGGUUGACUUGAGGAAGGUAGGGGAGAAUGGAAUUCCUGGUGGAGCGGUGGAAUGCGCAGAUAUCAGGAGGAACACCAGUGGCGAAGGCGGUUCUCUGGGCCUUUCCUGACGCUGAGGAGCGAAAGCGUGGGGAGCGAACAGGCUUAGAUACCCUGGUAGUCCACGCUGUAAACGGUGGGUACUAGGUGUGGGGUCCAUUCCACGGGUUCCGUGCCGUAGCUAACGCUUUAAGUACCCCGCCUGGGGAGUACGGCCGCAAGGCUAAAACUCAAAGGAAUUGACGGGGCCCCGCACAAGCGGCGGAGCAUGCGGAUUAAUUCGAUGCAACGCGUAGAACCUUACCUGGGUUUGACAUGGAUCGGGAGUGCUCAGAGAUGGGUGUGCCUCUUUUGGGGUCGGUUCACAGGUGGUGCAUGCCUGUCGUCAGCUCGUGUCGUGAGAUGUUGGGUUAAGUCCCGCAACGAGCGCAACCCUUGUUCACUGUUGCCAGCACGUUAUGGUGGGGACUCAGUGGAGACCGCCGGGGUCAACUCGGAGGAAGGUGGGGAUGACGUCAAGUCAUCAUGCCCCUUAUGUCCAGGGCUUCACGCAUGCUACAAUGGCUGGUACAGAGAGUGGCGAGCCUGUGAGGGUGAGCGAAUCUCGGAAAGCCGGUCUCAGUUCGGAUUGGGGUCUGCAACUCGACCUCAUGAAGUCGGAGUCGCUAGUAAUCGCAGAUCAGCAACGCUGCGGUGAAUACGUUCCCGGGGCU
RNAcentral lists this ribosomal RNA (1346 nucleotides) under uncultured bacterium. RNAcentral describes it as "partial 16S ribosomal RNA". It matches the Rfam family "Bacterial small subunit ribosomal RNA", at positions 28 to 1381 of the family's 1533-position model. The record is from RNAcentral.